AGCCCACCCCUUCACCUAUUUUACAUUUACAUGCUCUUUUGAUCUAUUGCUAUCCCUAUGUUGCGAUUCUGUUGUGUCACGUGUCCCAUCCACCUGUUAUCUAUAUGUCCGAGAUACACCUCCUCGCCCUACCUAUUGUUUGUUGUUUGCCAGCUUCGCGAGUCGUAGGCGAGUUUAGGGUCUUGUUGAUAUCUCGAGAUGUUCGGGAUAUCUUGUUGGGAGGUUAUCACAUGCUAUAUCAUUGUUGGAGAUAUUCACACUUUACUUUAUUGUUAACAACUAAAA
Lolium perenne is the source of this 285-nucleotide non-coding RNA. The record is from RefSeq and is a predicted model, not a curated record. Lineage: Eukaryota; Viridiplantae; Streptophyta; Magnoliopsida; Poales; Poaceae.